Long non-coding RNA from Lepisosteus oculatus (spotted gar), 156 nucleotides. RefSeq lists it as uncharacterized. Lineage: Eukaryota; Metazoa; Chordata; Actinopteri; Semionotiformes; Lepisosteidae. The record is from RefSeq and is a predicted model, not a curated record.
UGACCUUCCUCAGCGGACACGCCCCGUCCACCUGUUCCACAGGUGCGCCCGGCAAGAUGGCGGCGGGGCGAGGUUCUGCGGCGUUAGGCGACAAAAAGAUUUCAAGAACGGGCCUCCAGUUAUGAAAAUAGUUUCCAAGUUCUGCGGCUCCUGAUC